This 253-nucleotide ribosomal RNA is filed under the name uncultured bacterium. RNAcentral's name for it is "partial 16S ribosomal RNA". It matches the Rfam family "Bacterial small subunit ribosomal RNA", at positions 524 to 776 of the family's 1533-position model. The record is from RNAcentral.
UACAGGGGGGGCAAGCGUUGUUCGGAAUUACUGGGCGUAAAGGGUCUGUAGGUGGCUUGCUAAGUCAGACGUGAAAUCCCUCGGCUUAACCGGGGAACUGCGCCUGAUACUGGAUGGCUGGAGUGUGGGAGAGGGAUGCGGAAUUCCAGGUGUAGCGGUGAAAUGCGUAGAUAUCUGGAGGAACACCGGUGGCGAAGGCGGCAUCCUGGACCAUUACUGACACUGAAAAGCGAAAGCCAGGGGAGCAAACGGG